GACAGAGGGGACUAGCGUUGUUCGGAAUUACUGGGCGUAAAGCGCACGUAGGCGGAUUUGUAAGUCAGGGGUGAAAUCCCGGGGCUCAACCUCGGAACUGCCUUUGAUACUGCAAAUCUCGAGUCCGGAAGAGGUGAGUGGAAUUCCUAGUGUAGAGGUGAAAUUCGUAGAUAUUAGGAAGAACACCAGUGGCGAAGGCGGCUCACUGGUCCGGUACUGACGCUGAGGUGCGAAAGCGUGGGGAGCAAACAGG
Molecule: ribosomal RNA, 253 nt
Filed under: uncultured bacterium
Lineage: Bacteria
Description: partial 16S ribosomal RNA
Rfam family: Bacterial small subunit ribosomal RNA
Source: RNAcentral